CUGAAGCCUUCUCUGCUCCAGGCUGAGCAACUUCAACCUUCAGCCUGUUUUCAUAGGAGAGGUGCUCCAGUGCUCUGGUCAUCUUCAUGGCCCACAUCCUUAUUGUGUUGGGGGUCCUGGAGCUGGACACAGUAGUCCAGGUGGGCUUUCACAAGAGCAGAGUAGAGGGGUAGAAUCACCUCCCUUCACUUGCUGGUCACACUGCUUUUUAUGCAGCCCAGGACACAACUGGCUUUCCAGGCUGCAAGAGCACAUUCCUGGGUCGUGUUGAGCUUCUCAUCCACCAGCAUCCUUAAGUUCUUCUCUCCAGGGCUAAUUCUCUGCCCAUCCUGUCCUUGUGCUUGUGAUUGCCCCAGCCCAGUGCAGGACCUUGCACUUGGCCUUGUCAAACUUCACGAAGUUUGCACUGAUUCACCUCUCACGCGUGUCCAGGUCCCUCUGGAUGGCAUCCCAUCUGUCCAGUGUGUUGACAACACCAAACAGCUUGGUGUCAUUAGCAAAUUCGCUGAGGGUACAUGGAAUCCCAUGUCUCUGAAAAAGAUGUAAAACAGUGCCAGUAUAGGGCGCUAUUCUUUGCCAGAAAAUAAGGAUUACCUCUGUCAAAAAUGUAUUUAUGCUGCUCCACAGAGAAGGAGUGGCCAAAUGCAGAAAAACACUUUUGCAGAGAUCUGUUUAUUUGUGGGAAAACAGUUAAAGGGGAAAUUGAAACUUGAUUUUGCCCUUUUUUGUCAUCAGCAAUAGCUAUCAGGUAGGAAUUUGGAUAUAAAAAAUGUUGUGGGAAGAGAAACAGAACUUCUUUUUAGCCAUGUGAUGACAUUAUAUGCUCUCUUGAUAAUAAUGUGAUAUGGAAAGAAUUACUGAUAUUCAUGAAGGUGAAGGAAAACAGACAUGCCUGCCACCCACCCACACUUCAUCCUGUUCUUAUCACAGGUAUUACUUUUAGCACAUUCUUCUUGGCAACAGUAAUGAAAAAAUAGGUGAAAAGCCAUUAGCAAAAACUCCUCCUUUUCAUCUUGCAGGGGAAUGGUGCUAAAGACAAUAUAAUACAUGAUUUGCUUGAAAACAGCCUUUCUAAAAGCAUUGGUUAUAUUUUUGGAGCUACAGUGCAGGAGGCAAUUUGGGAUUCUUCAAGCUGGUUCUGUGACUUCCUGUUGAUGAAAUUGAAGAGGGAGUAUGUUGCAAAGGCAGUUGACAUUUAAUUCAUAUUGAUGGACAACUGGGAUGCCAAUCUAAACCUGUCUUCUUUGUUUUAAAGCCAUUCCCUCCUUGUCCUCUCACUAUAUGCCCUUGUAAAAAGUCCCCUUGAAAAAUCUUCAAAUACAAGCUCUUCAAAAUUUGAAUAUAUUUAAUGGCAGGAAUUUUACAAGUAAUUUAAUAGAAAUUAUUAAGUAAUUAUUAGAGGCGCUUUUUUUGCUUUUUUUUUCUGCUAGCAGUGGGUAAGCUCAUUCUGGGAGUCUGAGUCCAGCAGGUUAUGACUGAGGCUGCUCAGACCAUGGUUUGGGACCAGCAUCAGCAGAUGAAAUCCCUGCUUCUGUUUUGCAUCUUCUGCUGUGUGGCAGAGCUGCUUUUUGCAGCUGCACGGUGAACUGGAUUCAGGAAGAUAGAAAACUUCUUGGUUGUUUUUUUUAUUCCCUCUGGGUUUUUUCAGCUGAACAUGAACUCAGCUCCACUUCAUCCUAGACUUGUGGCAAAUAUAAAUGCCACACUUGGGUGUAUCAUCUGGAGGGGAAGAUUUCUGUUGGUUUAAAUAUUGCAACUUCAGAGUGUCUAAGGUCAGAGAGAUGUCAAUAAAUUUCCUAGUUCCUAGGGACUCUAUCUUUCAGUCUGUCCAGUGUUCUGUUUUCUCUUCUUAAAUGUUUGUAUGUAUUUGCUUGACAUCUCCAUAAUCCCAAGGAUCCAGCUCCCUGAGCUGUGCAGAACCAAGACUUGCACCUCUGGGUACAGGCUCAUAGGAUGUCCUCAGGCAAAGCUAAAGCAUACAGCUGUGGCACAGAGAUAUGCACAAGAAACAACAUAAUUAUUUACACUGUAAAUGCUCUGUUCCCUUUGUGUUAUUUCCAAUAUUCCCAACAUACUUUGCUGGCUUCCCUUGUAAUACAAAAAUUAACAUGGCAGUUAUAGCAAACUCCUUCCAUGAAUGGCACAGAGUUUCACUGAAGUGUUUCUUUUCUUGCCUUCAUCUUAAACCUAAAACCAGGCAAACAAUGUUUCUGUGACACAGUAAGAGAGGUGGUAUGAGAGAAUUUGUCUCCAGAGACUGCAGUGCAUUCUCAGCUCUAUCAACCGGAGGCAUUUUGUCCUCUGUGAAAACUGUUUUUCAUAUCCUCUCCUGUCCAUUCCUUGGCUUUUAUAUUGUUGUAGGGCCUGAUUUUGCAGACAGUGAUGUGGGAAAUGGAUUAGCUCAUGGGCAGACUCAGGUUUGAGCUUGGAGUGGAAAUUAUACACCUAAUAAGACAUGCAUCUAAAGCUGUUGUAUCGAGUGUCUCCCCAUUCUCCCUCCCAGCUGCUUUAUGUCUUCAUAAACUGACAAAGUGAGGUAAGCUUUCCCACUUGUACAUUUCUUACACAAACCUGUAAUGACACCUGUGUUUUUUCCUCUAAAGGUUUGCAUUGACUGGGAUGGAAACCACCUUACAGCUGAAGCAAUCUGUAUUUUGACCAUUUUCCCUUCAUGUGCGUUCCAGUUAAAAUACCAUCAAAAGUACAGCUGGAUAGUCUUUUGUAGAAAGAGUAAUUCCUAUUCUUUUCUACUUUCCAGCUGUUUCUUCGUGUUUUACCUCAGAUCCACCUCUCCUCAGUCUCGGACAAUGCUCUUGUCAUUUAUGGAUGCCCUUUGUCUGUGUCAGCUGCUCAGUCUGCAGAGUUUCUCCUGCCUCGAGAAAUGUUCAGAAACGUUUGAUGAUGUGUAAAUAAACUGUAAGUUUUCCUCAUUUACUUGUGGUGACCAUUUCCACCCAGCUCAGACUGUAACCAAGCCUGGUACUGAGGCUUACCGGGGCAGCAAGAAAAAGUGAAGAGCUUAGAAACUGAAGAUGGGGGAAACCAAAAUCAAUCCAGGACACUUGCUAUUUUCUGAUUGAACUUCUAAAAGAAACUCAACGAACAAGCCAAGAAUCCACCAUGACGAGCGAAAUAUACUCAUGUGUAGCACUUCAUAUAUGUCAUUAACUACUUGAAUGGAAAUCUAUGCUUUCCUUACAGCAAAAGAACAUCUGUCUGGGGCUCAGUGAGCUGUUGCCACAGUGCAUGUAAAGAGGGGCAUUGUUUUUCUUUGAGAUUUUCUUUAAAUAAAUGGGUUUGGCUUAAUGUAUUAGGUAAGAAAGUAAUAUUUUGGGAUUUGUAACCAGCUGCCAGUUGUAUUUCUUUUUUUUACUGGGAGCACAACACAAGUGUUUUCCUCUCUGCCAACCAGUACGUGUUGCUGGCGGGGAAUGACAGAUGCUGCCACGGGUGGCUCUGAGGAAGGCUGUGCAAUUCCAAUCUCAAGACUGUCAUGAGGAGGCACGAUGAGUCCCCUGCCCUAUUCUCAUUACUAUUUGCGACAUCGGAAUGAAUCUGUCUCAUACCACGAGGUGUUCUUGUUGUUGUAAUCCUUAUUGUAGGCUUACAGAACAAGAAAGAAGAGCAAAAGAAAGAUAAGACCUGAUUUCAUGUGGGAACCUUUUGGAAAGCAUGUCAGUGACACAUUAAUAUAAUUAUUAAGGUAAAGAGACCUGGCUAAGGUGGGAGAUUGCAAAUGUAAAUACCCUGAUGAGGCUGAAUGCUGAGGAUCCUCUGGGGAUAUCAGGUAUUUUUGCUUACUUGAGCAAAAUCCAAAAUAAUGCUGUUGGUUUAACAAUUAAAUAGAAUAAAGACCGUGAUCUUGGUGUGUAGAAAAAGACCUUUUGGGUACAGGAGAGAAAUACAUGUCCUCUGAAUAUUUUCAGCAUGUCUCCCUCAGCCCAGUUCAGUUGCUUGUGUGGAAUCAGUGAUGAGAGUUUGAAUUUAUACAUACAAGUACUCAGAGUGAAGCUCUGAGGACAGAAAAGGAAGGAGAUGAGAAGUAAGUGCAUGGAAAUGGAAGGAAAAUAUUGGCACAGUGUCCUCUGAAGGAGCAACGCUGCAUUUGCACAACUCUGAUGGAAACUUCACCGUAUCACUUGGAUACCACGUUUAGGAAGCAGCUUGUGUCAACCUUAGGUAUGGAUUGAGACAGUGAAGCCAGAUAUGACCACUUAGUUAGGUGGAGGAUAAUCCUUUUUCUUUUCCUAUUUAUGCUGGCCUGCAGCAAAGUCCCUCAAUAUGGAAUUUGAUUUUGAUGGUGGCGUUUUGAACCCUCUUUCUAUGCUUUUUUUGCUUCAAGAAAUAAUAAGGUCUAGAUAAAGUUGGAAUAGCUGCCUGGUAAUGAGAUCAUUAUAUAUAAGUACUGAAUUGUUCUCAGGGGCUAUAAUGAUUCCUCAGCCCAGGUAGGCAGCACAGAAUUAUUUACUAUGCACAGUCUGUCUUAAGAUCUACGUUUACAGUGCUUAAGCACAUAAAGCCCUUCAGCAUAAAGUUCAAGUAAGAGAAUAUGCAUGAAUGGGAAUAUGUUAUUUACAGCUUAUAUUAUGAGAUGGAAUGCACUGGGACUGGUUAUUUACUUUUCCUGUGGAAUUUUAAAGAAUUUUGACAGAAAAGACAAAGAAGUAAGAGAGGAGAUGCUAAAGGAAGAAGAACAUACCAGUGCUGUGUGACGGCAGCUUCCUUUUGACAGCCAUCCCCUUUGCACAGCAGCCUGUGGGAAUUAACAGGUGGUAAUGGCAUUGCCUGGGAUGGAGAUGUGGUGAGAAGCCUGGUCCCUUCUGCCUCCGAGAGGCAGAAACGCUCAGAGCUGUCCUUGUGCCUGGCCAUGGGCUGGGGCACAGGCUGCCCCUUGUGCCAUGGGACGUGCACACGGAACCUGGGGACAGCCCUGGUUUGGGGAUAGACAGGGAACUGGGUUUGAUUUCCUGAUCUGCUACGUGUUUCUGAAGUGAUUUUUGUCUCUACCUUACAAAUGGUAAAGAGAGAUAAAGAGAGACAGACCGAUCCUGUGUGCAUCCCGCUCCUUGAGUUUACACCUCUGAGAUAAAACUAUCAAAAGUGCUUCAGAGAGAGUGAGGGCAAGUGCAUUAAAGAUUAUGAGGUGUUGAGAUGUGAAGAUGAGGGGGAUGAGUAAAUGCUGGUAACAGGUUCAUUGCCUCUUAUGUCUAUACAGACAGGAUAGGGUCGAUAAAAGUAACAGGCAGCCCUGGGCUUGUUACCAUGGUUAUGUGCUCUGUCUCCACUGAAAUCACCUGAGUUACAGCUACUAUGUAAGUAAUAGGGAGUCCUGAUGCUGUUCAUAAUAAUGAGAGAAAACACGCCCUAUCAAAAAAAUAUGUCAACUGCAUGCAGAAAAGCUGCAGGAGAGGCAUAUUCUGUGGACAUACUUGCUUUUAGUGAGCUUAUGUAGGUCCAUAUGCUGAAGAUUACAUCCAAGUGUACCUCUGAGUUUCAAAAUUUCUAAUUAUUUUGCUGUGCCAAUAGACAAAUUUGAGAUGUAGUGUUUGAUCUCUGUCACACAGGCUCUGUAGGAUGUCCUCUGUGUAUUUUCCCUGAUGUCUAGGCUUAUUAUAUUUUUACCCUGAUUUGAUAAAACAAGCUGUCUUUAUUAGAACAGAACCAUUCCUGGAGAAAAUGGAUAAAGUAUGCGUGUAAGUUGCUUUAUUUUUUGCAAGCCUUGUCAUAGCAGUAAAACAGAUGUGUGCCUGGAAUAGCAAACUAACAGAAGUACUUGGAUGACUGAAGUACUUGGAUGACUGAAGGCAGGAAGGGGAAGACAUCUUGAGCUGCCAAACUCCUACAGCCAGCCCUAGGAACUAAGAUCCUGCUGUCACUGUCAAUAUAAAACUCUUUAGUCUGGCAUUUAAUGUGCCUUAAGAUGAAAAGCUAUAUUUAAAUUAAUAAUCCUAAUUUUUUUUAAUGUGUGAAGUAAGUGGAUUUUAGGAUUCCCAUACACCUGCCUGGCACUAUGGAUGGCAAAUGGAUUUGUUUCAGCAAACUCAAAGGAUUCAUAGGACUUGCUGCUCCUCGAAGAGAGCUUCUGUCAGUCCAAAGAAAGAAAUACUACACACACACACAAAAAAAGAAUUGUAGGGACCUGUUUCAGGGGAUAUGAAACAGGUCCAGUCACCCUGCGCUGCAUGAAUGGAGGGACUGAAAAACAUUACGGAAGCCUUUUUAAUCCCAGAGAAAUGAAAAAGGCCAUGGCUUUUUCUUAACAGAACAUGAAGGUUUUUAUUUCUUCUUUAUUCCUUUUUAGGGUCUCUUGGACCUCCUCAAUGGGCCUGCUUCAAAGUCUGAAAAAUGAACUCACCCCUUCUGGCAAAGUCUGGCCUGGGCAGCAACAAAUCUGCUUCUCUGUUUCAGUCUCAACACCUAAAGCUCUGUCAAAAUAAAAACCCGCACCCAUGGGAUGACAAUAGGUUAUGAAAACCUUCUUCUUUUCUUCUGCCUAACCUGGAAAGCUUUUCAGUGUUAAUUAGGCUACUGUAAGGAUUAGGAAAUGACAUUUUGUAAAUCGAUUGGCACCUGGAAAAGUGGCAUCCAAGAUGACUGUGGCCUGUACCCGCUGUGCCAAGCCACUACACCCUAGGUCUUUUUCUCAGCUGCCAUCCUGAUGUUGAUUCAUCUGGAGUAGGAGAGAACUGCCCUGGCUCUGAAGAAUGAAUGCAUCCCAUUCUACUUGUGCACCACUGCCCAAAUCUUGGUUUUGCAAAGCAAGAAACUCUGCAUUGUGCUGUCAGCAUUUUCUCCUUCUUGCAGCAUUAUAUAAACUUCAUAGCCAAUUUCCUAAAAAAAAUUAGGGUUGCUUACUUUGCUACUCCCUUAAUAGCCCUUCCCUUUGGUUCUGCUUUCUCUUUGAGAGAGGCCACGGAAAAGCUGCAGUGGUGCCUGCUUGGUUUUUGUUUGUAUGUUUAUUUGCCUGACAUUAUCCCAAAAUUAAUUGUAAGGGAGGUAAAUGGUGUGAGGGGAGUUCACUGGGGUUAAAUGGUCAAGAGAUUUCGGAGUCAUGUAUUUAACCUGGUGGAGAAACUGAGUUCUCAACAUGCAAACAACUGCUUUCCAAGUAAAUUAGACGCUACUACCUGA
This is a long non-coding RNA of Pseudopipra pipra, 7131 nucleotides long. RefSeq lists it as uncharacterized. The record is from RefSeq and is a predicted model, not a curated record. The transcript has 2 exons. Lineage: Eukaryota; Metazoa; Chordata; Aves; Passeriformes; Pipridae.